RNAcentral lists this ribosomal RNA (578 nucleotides) under uncultured bacterium. RNAcentral's name for it is "bacterial SSU rRNA". It matches the Rfam family "Bacterial small subunit ribosomal RNA", at positions 338 to 916 of the family's 1533-position model. The record is from RNAcentral.
CCUACGGGAGGCAGCAGUAAGGAAUAUUGGUCAAUGGAGGCAACUCUGAACCAGCCAUGCCGCGUGCAGGAAGACGGCCCUAUGGGUUGUAAACUGCUUUUAUCUGGGAAUAAACCUUUUUACGUGUAAGAAGCUGAAUGUACCAGAAGAAUAAGGAUCGGCUAACUCCGUGCCAGCAGCCGCGGUAAUACGGAGGAUCCAAGCGUUAUCCGGAUUUAUUGGGUUUAAAGGGUGCGUAGGCGGCCUGUUAAGUCAGAGGUGAAAGACGGUAGCUCAACUAUCGCAGUGCCUUUGAUACUGACGGGCUUGAAUAAACUAGAGGUAGGCGGAAUGAGACAAGUAGCGGUGAAAUGCAUAGAUAUGUCUCAGAACACCGAUUGCGAAGGCAGCUUACUAUGGUUUUAUUGACGCUGAGGCACGAAAGCGUGGGGAUCAAACAGGAUUAGAUACCCUGGUAGUCCACGCCCUAAACGAUGAAUACUCGCUGUUAGCGAUAUACAGUUAGCGGCUAAGCGAAAGCGUUAAGUAUUCCACCUGGGGAGUACGCUCGCAAGAGUGAAACUCAAAGGAAUUGACGG